This 1442-nucleotide ribosomal RNA is filed under the name uncultured organism. Its description in RNAcentral is "SSU rRNA". It matches the Rfam family "Bacterial small subunit ribosomal RNA". The record is from RNAcentral.
CUUGAUGAACGCUAGCUACAGGCUUAACACAUGCAAGUCGAGGGGCAGCAUCAUCAAAGCUUGCUUUGAUGGAUGGCGACCGGCGCACGGGUGAGUAACACGUAUCCAACCUGCCGACAACACUGGGAUAGCCUUUCGAAAGAAAGAUUAAUACCGGAUGGCAUAAUUAUUCCGCAUGGGAUAAUUAUUAAAGAAUUUCGGUUGUCGAUGGGGAUGCGUUCCAUUAGGCAGUUGGCGGGGUAACGGCCCACCAAACCUACGAUGGAUAGGGGUUCUGAGAGGAAGGUCCCCCACAUUGGAACUGAGACACGGUCCAAACUCCUACGGGAGGCAGCAGUGAGGAAUAUUGGUCAAUGGACGAGAGUCUGAACCAGCCAAGUAGCGUGAAGGAUGACUGCCCUAUGGGUUGUAAACUUCUUUUAUACGGGAAUAAAGUGAGCCACGUGUGGCUUUUUGUAUGUACCGUAUGAAUAAGGAUCGGCUAACUCCGUGCCAGCAGCCGCGGUAAUACGGAGGAUCCGAGCGUUAUCCGGAUUUAUUGGGUUUAAAGGGAGCGUAGGCGGGUUGUUAAGUCAGUUGUGAAAGUUUGCGGCUCAACCGUAAAAUUGCAGUUGAUACUGGCGACCUUGAGUGCAACAGAGGUAGGCGGAAUUCGUGGUGUAGCGGUGAAAUGCUUAGAUAUCACGAAGAACUCCGAUUGCGAAGGCAGCUUACUGGAUUGUAACUGACGCUGAUGCUCGAAAGUGUGGGUAUCAAACAGGAUUAGAUACCCUGGUAGUCCACACAGUAAACGAUGAAUACUCGCUGUUGGCGAUAUACAGUCAGCGGCCAAGCGAAAGCAUUAAGUAUUCCACCUGGGGAGUACGCCGGCAACGGUGAAACUCAAAGGAAUUGACGGGGGCCCGCACAAGCGGAGGAACAUGUGGUUUAAUUCGAUGAUACGCGAGGAACCUUACCCGGGCUUAAAUUGCAACUGACGGAACCGGAAACGGUUCUUUCUUCGGACAGUUGUGAAGGUGCUGCAUGGUUGUCGUCAGCUCGUGCCGUGAGGUGUCGGCUUAAGUGCCAUAACGAGCGCAACCCUUACGGGUAGUUACCAUCAGGUUAUGCUGGGGACUCUACCCGGACUGCCGUCGUAAGAUGUGAGGAAGGUGGGGAUGACGUCAAAUCAGCACGGCCCUUACGUCCGGGGCUACACACGUGUUACAAUGGGGGGUACAGAAGGCAGCUACACGGCGACGUGGUGCUAAUCCCAAAAGCCUCUCUCAGUUCGGAUUGGAGUCUGCAACCCGACUCCAUGAAGCUGGAUUCGCUAGUAAUCGCGCAUCAGCCACGGCGCGGUGAAUACGUUCCCGGGCCUUGUACACACCGCCCGUCAAGCCAUGAAAGCCGGGGGUACCUGAAGUACGUAACCGCGAGGAGCGUCCUAGGGUAAAACUGGU